AUUCCAGCUCCAAGAGCGUAUAUUAAAGUUGUUGCAGUUAAAAAGCUCGUAGUUGGAUUUCUGGUCUAAUGCGCCUGGCCCGCUGCCGUUAGGUAUGUGAGUGCCGGUGCGCGUUUACCAUCCUUCCAGAGAACACUUCUACCAUUUAUUUGGACGGAUGUUGUCUUCUGGAUCUUUUACUUUGAAAAAAUUAGAGUGUUUAAAGCAGGCCUUUGCUGUGAAUACAUUAGCAUGGAAUAAUAAUCUAGGACUUCGGUUCUAUUUUGUUGGUUUUGAGAACCAGAGUAAUGAUUAAUAGGGACAGUUGGGGGCAUUCAUAUUUCAUUGUCAGAGGUGAAAUUCUUGGAUUUAUGAAAGAUGAACUUCUGCGAAAGCAUUUGCCAAGGAUGUUUUCAUCG
RNAcentral lists this ribosomal RNA (398 nucleotides) under Cryomonadida sp. Its description in RNAcentral is "partial small subunit ribosomal RNA". It matches the Rfam family "Eukaryotic small subunit ribosomal RNA", at positions 582 to 975 of the family's 1831-position model. The record is from RNAcentral. Lineage: Eukaryota; Cercozoa; Thecofilosea; Cryomonadida.